This 93-nucleotide unclassified non-coding RNA is filed under the name soil metagenome. RNAcentral describes it as "partial internal transcribed spacer 1". The record is from RNAcentral.
UUAGGUUUUGAGUUGGAAUAAUGUGUAUGUGUAAGGGAUGUGCAUCUGCGGGUGCACCUUUUAAUAAGACAUUCAUAAAUGAUAACACACAAA